This 1346-nucleotide ribosomal RNA is filed under the name uncultured bacterium. RNAcentral describes it as "bacterial SSU rRNA". It matches the Rfam family "Bacterial small subunit ribosomal RNA", at positions 28 to 1381 of the family's 1533-position model. The record is from RNAcentral.
GACGAACGCUGGCGGCGUGCUUAACACAUGCAAGUCGAACGGAAAGGCCCUGCUUUUGUGGGGUGCUCGAGUGGCGAACGGGUGAGUAACACGUGAGUAACCUGCCCUUGACUUUGGGAUAACUUCAGGAAACUGGGGCUAAUACCGGAUAGGAGCUCCUGCUGCAUGGUGGGGGUUGGAAAGUUUCGGCGGUUGGGGAUGGACUCGCGGCUUAUCAGCUUGUUGGUGGGGUAGUGGCUUACCAAGGCUUCGACGGGUAGCCGGCCUGAGAGGGUGACCGGCCACAUUGGGACUGAGAUACGGCCCAGACUCCUACGGGAGGCAGCAGUGGGGAAUAUUGCACAAUGGGCGGAAGCCUGAUGCAGCAACGCCGCGUGCGGGAUGACGGCCUUCGGGUUGUAAACCGCUUUCGCCUGUGACGAAGCGUGAGUGACGGUAAUGGGUAAAGAAGCACCGGCUAACUACGUGCCAGCAGCCGCGGUGAUACGUAGGGUGCGAGCGUUGUCCGGAUUUAUUGGGCGUAAAGGGCUCGUAGGUGGUUGAUCGCGUCGGAAGUGUAAUCUUGGGGCUUAACCCUGAGCGUGCUUUCGAUACGGGUUGACUUGAGGAAGGUAGGGGAGAAUGGAAUUCCUGGUGGAGCGGUGGAAUGCGCAGAUAUCAGGAGGAACACCAGUGGCGAAGGCGGUUCUCUGGGCCUUUCCUGACGCUGAGGAGCGAAAGCGUGGGGAGCGAACAGGCUUAGAUACCCUGGUAGUCCACGCUGUAAACGGUGGGUACUAGGUGUGGGGUCCAUUCCACGGGUUCCGUGCCGUAGCUAGCGCUUUAAGUACCCCGCCUGGGGAGUACGGCCGCAAGGCUAAAACUCAAAGGAAUUGACGGGGCCCCGCACAAGCGGCGGAGCAUGCGGAUUAAUUCGAUGCAACGCGUAGAACCUUACCUGGGUUUGACAUGGAUCGGGAGCGCUCAGAGAUGGGUGUGCCUCUUUUGGGGUCGGUUCACAGGUGGUGCAUGGCUGUCGUCAGCUCGUGUCGUGAGAUGUUGGGUUAAGUCCCGCAACGAGCGCAACCCUUGUUCACUGUUGCCAGCACGUUAUGGUGGGGACUCAGUGGAGACCGCCGGGGUCAACUCGGAGGAAGGUGGGGAUGACGUCAAGUCAUCAUGCCCCUUAUGUCCAGGGCUUCACGCAUGCUACAAUGGCUGGUACAGAGAGUGGCGAGCCUGUGAGGGUGAGCGAAUCUCGGAAAGCCGGUCUCAGUUCGGAUUGGGGUCUGCAACUCGACCUCAUGAAGUCGGAGUCGCUAGUAAUCGCAGAUCAGCAACGCUGCGGUGAAUACGUUCCCGGGGCU